Molecule: ribosomal RNA, 1111 nt
Filed under: marine metagenome
Description: bacterial SSU rRNA
Rfam family: Bacterial small subunit ribosomal RNA
Source: RNAcentral
ACGCCGCGUGCGGGAUGAAGGCCUUCGGGUUGUAAACCGCUUUCAGCAGGGAAGAAGCGAAAGUGACGGUACCUGCAGAAGAAGCACCGGCUAACUAUGUGCCAGCAGCCGCGGUAAUACAUAGGGUGCAAGCGUUGUCCGGAAUUAUUGGGCGUAAAGAGCUCGUAGGUGGUUCGUCACGUCGGAUGUGAAACUCUGGGGCUUAACCCCAGACCUGCAUUCGAUACGGGCGAGCUUGAGUAUGGUAGGGGAGUCUGGAAUUCCUGGUGUAGCGGUGGAAUGCGCAGAUAUCAGGAGGAACACCAAUGGCGAAGGCAGGACUCUGGGCCAUUACUGACACUGAGGAGCGAAAGCGUGGGGAGCGAACAGGAUUAGAUACCCUGGUAGUCCACGCCGUAAACGGUGGGCACUAGUUGUGGGGACCUUCCACGGUCUCUGCGACGCAGCUAACGCAUUAAGUGCCCCGCCUGGGGAGUACGAUCGCAAGAUUAAAACUCAAAGGAAUUGACGGGGCCCCGCACAAGCAGCGGAGCAUGCGGCUUAAUUCGACGCAACGCGAAGAACCUUACCAAGGCUUGACAUAUACAGGAAUAUGGCAGAGAUGUCAUAGCCGCAAGGUCUGUAUACAGGUGGUGCAUGGUUGUCGUCAGCUCGUGUCGUGAGAUGUUGGGUUAAGUCCCGCAACGAGCGCAACCCUCGUUCUGUGUUGCCAGCAUUUAGUUGGGGACUCACAGGAGACUGCCGGGGUUAACUCGGAGGAAGGUGGGGAUGACGUCAAAUCAUCAUGCCCCUUAUGUCUUGGGCUGCACGCAUGCUACAAUGGCUGGUACAAACGGCUGCAAUACCGCAAGGUGGAGCGAAUCCGAGAAAGCCAGUCUCAGUUCGGAUUGGGGUCUGCAACUCGACCCCAUGAAGUCGGAGUUGCUAGUAAUCGUAGAUCAGCAACGCUACGGUGAAUACGUUCCCGGGGCUUGUACACACCGCCCGUCACGUCACGAAAGUCGGUAACACCCGAAGUCAGUGGCCCAACCGCAAGGAGGGAGCUGCCGAAGGUGGGAUCGGUGAUUGGGACGAAGUCGUAACAAGGUAGCCGUACCGGAAGGUGCGGCUG